Oncorhynchus kisutch (coho salmon) is the source of this 1498-nucleotide long non-coding RNA. RefSeq lists it as uncharacterized. NCBI's taxonomy places the organism in Eukaryota, Metazoa, Chordata, Actinopteri, Salmoniformes, Salmonidae. The record is from RefSeq and is a predicted model, not a curated record. The transcript is spliced from 5 exons.
UCUUAACUGACUUGCCUAUUUAAAUAAAGGUUAAAUCAUAUAUUUUUUAUCAUCCCUUUUACCUAGGUAACAUCAGACAGUGACCAUGUGGCCAACACUACCGUCAAGGUCCACCUACCCAAAAGAGCUCCUGAUAGCCAAAGAGAACGAUACCAUCAUCUUCUGCAUGAUUACCUCACCUGAAAAAUAUGGGCCAUCGGGACUUCUUGAUGGCCAAGUAGGAGGUCUGGCUGUGAGCAUGAAGACAGUGUUGGGUCUGCAGGACAAGAUUAACUUCUUCAUGCCUCUACAGCGCCCCACAUUGGAAAGUCAGGCUGACAAACAACCAUCUUGUCAAUGCUUUAAUUUUUCAACCAACGAGUUCUACCAGGAUGACUGCACCACAGAGUGGAAGAGAGACGAGGGCCGUGUGGUGUGCUCAUGUGACCACCUCAUAUUUUGCUGUGCUGAUGGUAGACAACUUUACAACUACCACAGUCCUUCCUUCGUUUCCUUAUCGCAGCAUAAGCACUUCUUAAAUGGAAGAGAAUAAAAACAAAAGUCAGUGAAGUAUACCCAUCUACUAAGAUACACUGUAGCAUUAGUUGUAUUUUCCUGCGUUUAGGUGUCUCCAUCUCUGAAAGCGAUCAGCAGAUCCUAAGCUACAUCACUCUGAUUGGCUGCAGUCUGUCUCUGUUCUUCCUGGUGGUCACAAUCUUUCUGUGCGCGACUCAAAGAGGUAUAUGCACAGACAUCUCCCUGAAGGUGCAUAUCAACCUGUCUGUGGCCCUGAUCCUCCUCAACCUACACUUCCUGCCCAGCCAGCAGGUAGCAGCAUUAUCCUCCUCUGGGCCAUGUAUCUAUGUUGCUGUCCUUCUGCAUUACUCUCUACUGGCCACCUUCACAUGGACAGCAAGCGAAGGCUUCCACCUUUACCUGUUGCUGGUCCGUGUCUUCAACAUCAAUGUCAGGAGAUACCUGCUCAAACUGAGCCUGGUAGAAUGGUGUGAGAUUGCACUUUACAACCUGAAACUGGCUGUAUGACUGUAAACAGUAAGCAAUAAUAACGGUGGCGAACGAGAUGGCUGUCGUUUUACGAUCCCGUAACCAAUUGUGCUAUUGUGAAUGUUUUUUCACAUUAUUUGUAAGUUAUUUGGUACAUAAUGUUUCUGCCACCAUGUCUUAUGACCGAAAAUAACUUCUAGAUAUCAGGAAAACUAUUACUCACCCCGUACUGGAGGAAUAGUUUUUCUUCAACGAGUCAGGUGGGAAGGAUUUACUGCAGACGCCCGACAAGGCCCUUAUCCUCGUAAUUCACAGGAGAAAGAGACGGAGGUAUCGUGGAUGAAGAUCCGGGUGCCUUGUUAGGAUCUGUCGCCGAAAGGGUAAUCUACCUUUUCCUUUCGGUCCUAGUAGCCAAUGUACAAUCAAUCCAUAAUAAAAUAGACGAACUACGAUCACGUACAGUGGGGCAAAAAAGUAUUUUAGUCAGCCACCAAUUGUGCAAGUUCUCCCACUU